This 301-nucleotide ribosomal RNA is filed under the name uncultured bacterium. Its description in RNAcentral is "partial 16S ribosomal RNA". It matches the Rfam family "Bacterial small subunit ribosomal RNA", at positions 509 to 809 of the family's 1533-position model. The record is from RNAcentral.
CAGCAGCCGCGGGAAUACGAGGGGAGCUAGCGUUGUUCGGAAUUACUGGGCGUAAAGCGCGCGUAGGCGGCUUUUUAAGUCAGAGGUGAAAGCCCGGGGCUCAACCCCGGAAUUGCCUUUGAAACUGGAAAGCUAGAAUCUUGGAGAGGUCAGUGGAAUUCCGAGUGUAGAGGUGAAAUUCGUAGAUAUUCGGAAGAACACCAGUGGCGAAGGCGACUGACUGGACAAGUAUUGACGCUGAGGUGCGAAAGCGUGGGUAGCAAACAGGAUUAGAUACCCGUGUAGUCCCUGUCUCUUAUAA